CAGUCGAGCGGAACGAGUUAUCUGACCUUCGGGGGACGAUACGGCGUCGAGCGGCGGACGGGUGAGUAAUGCCUACGAAAUUGCCCUGAUGUGGGGGAUAACCAUUGGAAACGAUGGCUAAUACCGCAUGAUGCCUACGGGCCAAAGAGGGGGACCUUCGGGCCUCUCGCGUCAGGAUAUGCCUAGGUGGGAUUAGCUAGUUGGUGAGGUAAGGGCUCACCAAGGCGACUAUCCCUAGCUGGUCUGAGAGGAUGAUCAGCCACACUGGAACUGAAACACGGUCCAGACUCCUACGGGAGGCAGCAUUGGGGAAUAUUGCACAAUGGGCGCAAGCCUGAUGCAGCCAUGCCGCGUGUGUGAAGAAGGCCUUCGGGUUGUAAAGCACUUUCAGUCGUGAGGAAGGUAGUGUUGUUAAUAGCUGCAUUAUUUGACGUUAGCGACAGAAGAAGCACCGGCUAACUCC
This 463-nucleotide ribosomal RNA is filed under the name bacterium 1611-S4-01-2.2. Its description in RNAcentral is "bacterial SSU rRNA". It matches the Rfam family "Bacterial small subunit ribosomal RNA", at positions 59 to 504 of the family's 1533-position model. The record is from RNAcentral.